This 670-nucleotide ribosomal RNA is filed under the name uncultured Acidobacteriota bacterium. RNAcentral's name for it is "bacterial SSU rRNA". It matches the Rfam family "Bacterial small subunit ribosomal RNA", at positions 8 to 677 of the family's 1533-position model. Lineage: Bacteria; Pseudomonadati; Acidobacteriota. The record is from RNAcentral.
AGAGUUUGAUCCUGGCUCAGAAUGAACGCUGGCGGCGUGCUUUACACAUGCAAGUCGAGCGAGGCGGGUAGCAAUACCCAGUCGAGCGGCGAACGGGUGAGUAACGCGUGGAUGACCUGCCCUUCAGCGGGGAAUAACCCGGGGAAACUCGGGCUAAUACCGCAUACGACCGAGAGGUGAAAGGGGGCUCGCAAGGGCUCUCACUGAAGGAGGGGUCCGCGUCCGAUUAGCUAGUUGGUAGGGUAAUGGCCUACCAAGGCGACGAUCGGUAGCCGGCCUGAGAGGGUGAUCGGCCACACUGGAACUGAGACACGGUCCAGACUCCUACGGGAGGCAGCAGUGGGGAAUUUUGCGCAAUGGGCUAACGCCUGACGCAGCAACGCCGCGUGGAGGAUGAAGGUCUUUGGAUUGUAAACUCCUGUCAGCAGGGAAAAAGCGACCUGACCUCAUACGUCAGGGAGUUGAUUGUACCUGCAGAGGAAGCCCCGGCUAACUCUGUGCCAGCAGCCGCGGUAAUACAGAGGGGGCAAGCGUUAUUCGGAAUUAUUGGGCGUAAAGGGCGCGUAGGCGGCCGUUCAAGUGGCGGGUGAAAUCCCUCGGCUUAACCGAGGAACUGCCUGCCAGACUGGAUGGCUUGAGACCGGGAGAGGUGAGUGGAAUUCCCAGUGUA